CCUCCUUUUUCUCGCUUUUUUCGGAUUUACUGGGCGUAAAGCGCGUGUAGGCGGGUCGUUAAGUUGGGGGUGAAAUCCCGAGGCUCAACCUCGGAACUGCCUUCAAAACUGGCGACCUGGACUCAAGCAGAGGCAAGUGGAAUUGCGAGUGUAGAGGUGAAAUUCGUAGAUAUUCGCAGGAACACCAGUGGCGAAGGCGACUUGCUGGGCUUGUGGUGACGC
Molecule: ribosomal RNA, 222 nt
Filed under: uncultured prokaryote
Description: partial 16S ribosomal RNA
Rfam family: Bacterial small subunit ribosomal RNA
Source: RNAcentral